RNAcentral lists this ribosomal RNA (534 nucleotides) under Candidatus Arsenophonus arthropodicus. Its description in RNAcentral is "bacterial LSU rRNA". It matches the Rfam family "Bacterial large subunit ribosomal RNA", at positions 175 to 750 of the family's 2925-position model. Lineage: Bacteria; Pseudomonadati; Pseudomonadota; Gammaproteobacteria; Enterobacterales; Morganellaceae. The record is from RNAcentral.
CGAGGCAAACCGGGGAAACUGAAACAUCUCAGUACCCCGAGGAAAAGAAAUCAACCGAGAUUCCCCCAGUAGCGGCGAGCGAACAGGGAGCAGCCCAGAGUCAACAUCAAUAUUUACCGCAGGAGAAAGAUCUGGAAAGGCCGGCAAUAAUGGGUGAUAGCCCCGUAUCUGAAGCGGUAAGUGUUGUGAACUCGAAGAGUAAGGCGGGACACGUGUUAUCCUGUCUGAAUAUGGGGGGACCAUCCUCCAAGGCUAAAUACUCCUGACUGACCGAUAGUGAACCAGUACCGUGAGGGAAAGGCGAAAAGAACCCCGGCGAGGGGAGUGAAAUAGAACCUGAAACCGUGUACGUACAAGCAGUAGGAGCACCCGAAAAGGUGUGACUGCGUACCUUUUGUAUAAUGGGUCAGCGACUUAUAUUCUGUAGCAAGGUUAACCGCAUAAGGGAGCCGUAGGGAAACCGAGUCUUAACUGGGCGUUAAGUUGCAGGGUAUAGACCCGAAACCCGGUGAUCUAGCCAUGGGCAGGUUGAAG